This 3140-nucleotide unclassified non-coding RNA is filed under the name Leishmania donovani. RNAcentral's name for it is "gene:LdHU3.33.1930(CDS-product:hypothetical_prote in_conserved)". Lineage: Eukaryota; Euglenozoa; Kinetoplastea; Trypanosomatida; Trypanosomatidae. The record is from RNAcentral.
CUGCUGCCGAGGAGGCCAACACAGGCGCCUCUUCCCUCCCUUCAACGUCUCGGCGCGGGAAAAGCAGAGACGCCCUUAUCGCCACCGCGACAGCGACACGCACACGCACACGCAGGCACAUUAAACCGCCUUUGCGUUUUGUUUUCUCUCGAUUUUUUGUUUGUUUUAUCGUAUUCUGUCGCCUCUCUACCGCGCUGAUCGCCUAUCAUAGUUGCGCUUCCGUUCUUUACUACUCUUGUUUCGCUGUUGUUGUUGAUGGGGCAGCUCAACUCACCAGCGCUAUCCACACCCUCAUCUCACUCUCAUAGACUGCUGAAAGAAGUUACCCGGGCACGACAGCUCGUAGCACACACACGCACACUAGCAAACAAACACGUAGAGCGUGGGUCCGCUCUUCUCGCUCCUACGUCGCAACGGCCAACAACCGCUUAUCUACGCACGUCUCUUCUUCUUUUCCGCUUUCCGCUUCACCAAGAGCGCGAGCUCGAGCAAGGGAACGCUAAUGUCGACGUGGGCCUCUCGCCUCUCCUCGAGCAAGUCGGUGUCGCCGACAUCGGGGACGGAAAGCCGUGGGGCAGCAGCGCAGCGUGACUUCUCUUCAGUGUCCAACACCGCGUCACCGACAAGCAUGGUGAGCGGUGGGGGCGCCGGCGCCGACGUCGGUGCUGGCAGUGGAAACGCCGCCGCACUUCUUCGCGAGGAGUUCCGUGUCGUUGCGGAGGCGUACAAUGAACAGAACGUGUAUCUGCUGCGCCUCCCGCCGGACUGCUGGGAUAUGGCCGCGAAGUACCUCUCCUACAUGGACGUCAUUGCCCUCGGUCAAGCCUGUCGCUCUCUGUGGAGAGUGCUGCACAACCUCGACAGCUUGUGGCGCCGCCAGCUCAGCUACUUCUACCACGACAUGCGCGACCUUCGAGGCGGGAAGCUUCUCUGCACAGCCCCGCUCUUUCCAGAGUCGCCGUGCAGUCGCAGCACAAGUCACCAAGGGAGCAUGGGUGCGCUGACGGGGCCAGCAGGGGGGCAAGAGUGGCCGCGCAAGGCAUGGCAUCAGUCGUACAUGUCGGCCUACGAGCGGUUUUUUCAGGAGCGACGUGUGUACGUGCUGGACUCGCAUCGCGAAUGGCAUUUCCAAGAGCUGGCGGACGUGGAGGACAAGUCCACAGGCAUGUUCACAGUCGCGCUGCACGACGGCCGCGUCGAGGCUCUGACAGCGGCCGCCUCCCCUCUCUCGAUGGACCCUUUUUCAUUCUCCGGUGCCUGGUCCGCAUCGCCACCGCAGCAGCUGCUGCCAUGGGUCGCUGCCGCCUCGGUCUCUGCCACCGCAUCGCCGAUUUUCGCGAAUGCCGUCGAUAGCACGCGGGAGUGGUUGCUUGCUGCCCCUUCGUCGCCGGCGUCCUUUGCAGCGUCGCAGCCGCCGGCGUCACCCGCGCAGGCACCGACGCCGCUGCACGUUCGCACCACAUCCGCGCAGACAAAUGGAACGUCGAUUGGCAGCAGUCCAGCGAUCGCGCCAGCCGCUGCACCGUCUACUCCGCCGCUGCUGCCGCGCGUCGGUGAGCCGAUCAUCAAUGAGCACAAUCCCCUCCUGCGUCUGCGCGUGUACGCGAUCGAGCCGGUGGAAGCGGAGGAAAACAGAGACGCCGAAGCCGCAGAAGUGGCCGCGUAUGCCAGUAGGAUUGAUGAGGGGCGCCACCGCAGUCACGCCUCGCUAGCCUCGAGCAUCUCGGCCAGUCUUUCCGGGAUGACGGAGGAACAGGUGAUUGAGUAUGUGAUGCGGCUGUCGCUCGCAGAAACGCAACAGGCGGCUUCACGGUCUUCUUCGUCGUCGCCAACCGCUGAGGCACCAUCGAAUGCGAAGCCCGCGGCAACAGAUCCGGUGGGCUCUGCCACACAGCAGCAGCCGAAGCUGUACCGGCAUUGCCACUACCGCGGUGCCAAUCCAACGGCAUCUCUGCCGCUCAGCGAACUUCUCGCCAUCCUCGACGCGUUCACCAACAACGCUUCCGAUCAGCUGCAGUACCACCACGUGCGGAACUGCACAGAGGACGAGGAUCCGGCGUUUCUGCAGCGUCUUUCGGAGACGCUCCGGAGCGCGAAGCACCGGCGGCUGCACCUCGGUAAUCAUCACCGAGCCGUGCGCAACAACGGGCAAACGACGCGCAACCGUGCGGGACGGUCAGCCGGAGCAGGCUCGGCCGAUGCGCCCUCUCUCAGUCUCUCUGCCGCUGGCACGGCCACGCCGCCGCAGCAGCCGCCUCCGAUGAACCGCAUGCUGCGCGGCUUUCACGGAGACCUGUUGGAGAUUACAGAGCGAGAAGCGCAGCUGGUAGCCGGCACGCUGCUUGGCAUGCCUCGCGUGAUUGACGAAUUUGUAGCCUUCCGGUGCUACGACCCGGCGCUGCUGUACCACAGGCUGUACUCAUCGAGCACGGCCAUCGAUAGGGCUGACACCCGAGGCACACCUCGAGAGGCGCGGGGAGAGGCGCCGUGGCUCAAGGAUAACUCUGUGCUCUCGGACGGCGUGUCACCCAUCAGCAGGCAGACCACUCAGGCAGGAAGCAGCGGGCCUACCCACCAGUCUGUCGAGACACCUGCCGCCAUACCGCCAUUGACAACGUUGACGCCGUCGCUGAGGCCGCUCCCGUUCUUUACACGCUUUUUUCUCGCACCCGAGUUGUGCCACGACGGUUGCAUUGCCCUCAUCGUCGUGGACGUGGUUCGUGUGCUCGUCAUAGUGGAGAAGGAGGUCGUCACCACGGACAAUCCUGAUUGGGCCUCGCCCUUGAUUGCGCGUGGUGGUCGCGUGGUAGUGCACGGCCAGGGGUACAACGCCCAAGCCUACACACGCGACGAGUACAACUACGUACCGCUGAACCCCACGCGGCGCCGCCGCAACUCGGACUCGGGGGGAUGAGAGGGGAGGUGAAUAGAAUGGAUGUGGCCGGAAAAACGAGCGGAAGGCAACACACCACGCGGCAGGGGUGCAGCGUCCGACUUAUUUGUGUGUUUGUGUGUGUGUGUGUGUGUGUCUUUCUGCGCUAUGUCAUCCAGCCAUCCCAGCGCGCCAUCGCAUCGUAACUUGGCCACCGCCCGAACCUCCCUCCCCACCUGUCGGAGCAUGAACCAAAAGCCGGCAACAC